GCACUGCUGAGGAGUCCUACAAUAGGACGAAAUAGCCAUUCAGUGC
Molecule: non-coding RNA, 46 nt
Filed under: Schistosoma haematobium
Lineage: Eukaryota; Metazoa; Platyhelminthes; Trematoda; Strigeidida; Schistosomatidae
Source: RNAcentral